This 230-nucleotide ribosomal RNA is filed under the name uncultured Alicycliphilus sp. RNAcentral describes it as "partial 16S ribosomal RNA". It matches the Rfam family "Bacterial small subunit ribosomal RNA", at positions 550 to 774 of the family's 1533-position model. Lineage: Bacteria; Pseudomonadati; Pseudomonadota; Betaproteobacteria; Burkholderiales; Comamonadaceae. The record is from RNAcentral.
AGCUGAUCACUGGGCGUAAAGCGUGCGCAGGCGGUUUUGUAAGACAGAGGUGAAAUCCCCGGGCUCAACCUGGGAACUGCCUUUGUGACUGCAAAGCUGGAGUGCGGCAGAGGGGGAUGGAAUUCCGCGUGUAGCAGUGAAAUGCGUAGAUAUGCGGAGGAACACCGAUGGCGAAGGCAAUCCCCUGGGCCUACACUGACGCUCAUGCACGAAAGCGUGGGGAGCAAACA